RNAcentral lists this ribosomal RNA (432 nucleotides) under uncultured bacterium. RNAcentral describes it as "partial 16S ribosomal RNA". It matches the Rfam family "Bacterial small subunit ribosomal RNA", at positions 29 to 507 of the family's 1533-position model. The record is from RNAcentral.
AACGAACGCUGGCGGCAUGCCUAACACAUGCAAGUCGAACGAGACCUUCGGGUCUAGUGGCGCACGGGUGCGUAACGCGUGGGAACCUGCCCUUAGGUUCGGAAUAACUCCCCGAAAGGGGUGCUAAUACCGGAUAAUGUCUUCGGACCAAAGAUUUAUCGCCUUUGGAUGGGCCCGCGUUGGAUUAGCUAGUUGGUAGGGUAAAAGCCUACCAAGGCGACGAUCCAUAGCUGGUCUGAGAGGAUGAUCAGCCACACUGGGACUGAGACACGGCCCAGACUCCUACGGGAGGCAGCAGUGGGGAAUAUUGGACAAGGGGGGAAGCCUGAUCCAGCAAUGCCGCGUGAGUGAUGAAGGCCUUAGGGUUGUAAAGCUCUUUUACCCGGGAUGAUAAUGACAGUACCGGGAGAAUAAGCUCCGGCUAACUCCGUG